AUUAUUGCAAAUUCAUGCUUAUUUAUGAUGGCUCCCCAUUUACCAAUUUUUAUUGGACUACAUGACUUUGUAAUUUGGAAAAUGUUAGUAAAUAUCAAAGGGCAUAUAAUUAAAUACAAGAAAGCCCUUAACUUUAUUGCUAAUCAGUGUAAAAAAAAAAAACACUUUAAUGCUAAUCCUAAUCCCAUUUUCAUUGAUAAAAAAAAGUUAACAAACUUAAUCUAAUGGCUAGAAUUUAGCUUCACAUGGACUAAGCAGUCAGCACCGACCCCAGACAAAGCCACGCCCCCAUACCCAAGUCUUUCUUGUGCUUACAAAUGGCUCCAUUUGCCGACCAUCACUUUCAGUCUUGAAAGUAGUUCUUUUGGGGACCCUAACUCAUCUUCCUCCACCGUUUCACCUCAACUCUUACAACUGCUUUCUGAAGCUCUCCAGCCUUGAUUGAGUUUAGUUUUUAAGUAAAGGAACACUCUUUGUAAUGGCAGAUUGGGCUCCUGUACUUGUUGGGGUGGUGCUAUUUGUGUUGCUAUCACCAGGACUUCUGUUUUCAUUCCCAGGGAACGGCAAGCAGCUGGAGUUUGGGAGCAUGAAGACUAAUGGCAAGGCCAUUGCUAUCCACACUCUUCUUUUCUUUGCCAUCUAUGCUGUUUUGAUCAUGGCUGUUCACCUCCAUAUCUACACUGGCUAACCACUUCCCUGCCGGGUGGGGUGGCAAUGGAACUAAUGUUUUUCUUGGUGGCGAAGGAGAAGGGGAUGAUGCUAAACUUGGUGUGAAAGAAGGGAUGAGUUUAAAGGGGAGGUAAGGUAUGGAAAUGUUAGUGGGUUUGCUUUAUGGAGAAGCCCAUUUUCUUCCAUUGGCUUCUGAUAAAUUGUUUUUAUUUUCAAGGCUUCUUUUAGCUUUGCUUUAUUGCUUUUAUUAAAGAUAUAUAUAAAUAAAAAGAAGUGAAUUGUAAAGCAACUAGGCCUGCAUGUGUAAAGUUGACCCUUUUGCCUGGAAAACUUGUUUGCUUGUGGCUUAAUGUAAUUUGUGUUGGUCCUAUGAACCAGGAUUCAUACGUGUUAAGAAAUUUCAAAAGCUAAAAGAAUAUACAGGGAGACAAUUUGAUAAAA
This is a long non-coding RNA of Gossypium arboreum, 1110 nucleotides long. RefSeq lists it as uncharacterized. The transcript is spliced from 2 exons. NCBI's taxonomy places the organism in Eukaryota, Viridiplantae, Streptophyta, Magnoliopsida, Malvales, Malvaceae. The record is from RefSeq and is a predicted model, not a curated record.